This 334-nucleotide ribosomal RNA is filed under the name uncultured eukaryote. RNAcentral's name for it is "partial 18S ribosomal RNA". It matches the Rfam family "Eukaryotic small subunit ribosomal RNA", at positions 1470 to 1796 of the family's 1831-position model. The record is from RNAcentral.
CCCUUAGAUGUCCGGGGCCGCACGCGCGCUACACUGAAGGAAUCAGCGUGGCUUUCUCCCUGACACGAAAGGGUUGGGAAACCCGUUGAAUCUCCUUCGUGAUAGGGAUUGGGGCUUGAAAUUGUUCCCCAUGAACGAGGAAUUCCCAGUAAGCGCGAGUCAUAAGCUCGCGUUGAUUACGUCCCUGCCCUUUGUACACACCGCCCGUCGCUACUACCGAUUGAACGGUUUAGUGAGGGCCUCGGAUUGGUCUCGGCCCGCUCUUUACCGGGCGGCGCCGUUGGUCGAGAAGACGCUCGAACUUGAUCGUUUAGAGGAAGUAAAAGUCGUAACA